Long non-coding RNA from Pocillopora damicornis (cauliflower coral), 1348 nucleotides. RefSeq lists it as uncharacterized. Lineage: Eukaryota; Metazoa; Cnidaria; Anthozoa; Scleractinia; Pocilloporidae. The record is from RefSeq and is a predicted model, not a curated record.
CCUUGAGAUGAAUAAUUGAUUAGCGUUGAAAGAUUCCUGAUCCGCAGAGACCUUCAAUCUAAAUUUCGCCAGCAUAUGCAUUCACGCUCACCAGAACAACACAAGAACCGACCACAAUCUUUAAUUCUAUUGUCACCAAGGGAUUUUCGCUACUUGAUGCAAGAAAUAAAAGUAUGUGCAAUAUCAACUUGUACUCGAACUAUCACUGGUUCGGUCAAGUUCGCAUUUGGUCGAUCGAGAGGCCAGACAAAAGAGUCUUUCUGCAUGCUCCAAAGAGUGCUCAAAAUUGUAGCGAUCUAACAACGCUGGGGUCCGAGGCUAACGAGAGACGAGCCAUUAACAUGUCGUUAAAACCCCAGGCAACUUAGGUCUUUCACACGUUUAAAACCACGGAAACGUUAGACGAAUCAAAGAAUUUAUUAGCGGACGACAGAAUGCUCUGUCGUUCUGUGGUAUAUCAUUAUCUGAUAAUUUUCGACGCGAUCGCUAAACGUUUACACAGCUCGCUAACUACAAAAUAAACAAUCCUUGCAAGCACCAACAAAAUCACGUUCCAAUCUGGAAAGAAACAAGGACUACGUAAUGAAAUUCGACGCGAAGUCGCUGCCCUUCCACGGGCAAAAGUUAUAAUUCUGCGGUGCAAAAUUAUUCACACGAUCGACCUUGCGGCUAAAGUGAAUUGGAAUCAUUUGUGCGAUAAAUCAACAAGCAACUUUCCUUGAAAAGAAGUAAUUUGAAGGGACGGGGCAAAUCCAUUGUCCGACUAAGAUAACGCCUUUAUGCGCCAAUUCGAAAUUUACCCUUUUCAUACGCGAAAAGAAACCACUACAUCUUUUGUAUUCUUUUCAAACGCGUAUCCUUUAGGCUCGGCAAUACAUCAUGUACAGUGAUAAACAUCGCCAUAAAACCACACAUUAGCAAAUUUGCCAGCGGCCGGAUAAACCCUAAGUGAACGAUUUUGAUAUAAACAUAUCGCAGAUCACUGCAUGUCAAGGAAAAUAUUUUGCCUAAGAUAGCUCGUUUCCACAGGGAGGAAGUUUGACCACGCAAAUGGAUUCCAUACGGUACAUCGCCCGAACCUUCAAUCCGUGGUAAUCUUUUCCAUCCAUGACUAUUCACCUUCUGUUAUCAGUAUAUAUCAUCUCGACACCUUUCUCUAGAAAUUUCCAUUACUGCUGACAAAGAGAACCCGUUAUUUGAUUCAGCAGAGAUUCUAGGGGAGUACUCACCAUAAUAGUAAAAUGAAACAACAUUUGGCUAUCAAAACAAUUUAAGAAAAUGAGUCGACGAGUAGUCGAGAAAAUCAACCUUCUUUGGAACAUUCAUAUGUAGCAAAAAAAAAAAAAAA